AUGUCCGGUUCCGACCUCCAGGGCCGGUGGAUGCCCUCCUUCGUCACGGAGGAGGACGUGCUAAAGCUGCGGGAGGCCAAGUACAUGGCUUAUGAGAUUUCGCACAGGUUGCCUGCCGAAGGGCAGGCCAUCCCCACCCCCGAGCCCGGCGAGUAUGUCGUCUUUGUAUCCCACCUCCGUCGGGGUUUAGGCUUCCCGAUGGAUCCUUUUGUGAGAGGGCUCAUGUUUUACUAUGGGUUGGAAUUCCACGAUUUGGCUCCGGAGUCCAUCCUCCAUAUUUCCGCAUUUAUUGUCGUCUGCGAAGCCUUCCUCCGUGUCGCCCCUCACUUCGGCCUGUGGCUGAAGACCUUCAAUGUGGCGCCGAAGAUGAUCGGGGGGCGUCAAGCGGACUGCGGCGGGGCGGCCAUAAGUAGGAGGACCGAUGCCCCGUGGCCCGCUGGCUCCUUCCAAGAGGAGCUUGGCCUGUGGCAGCAAGAGUGGUUCUAUAUUACCGUUCCGAGGGGACGCAGACAAAAGCCGCCGCCCUUAUUCCGCCCGGGACCUCCACGACGGUUGAUGUCGUGGGUCAACCAAGGGCUCAACUAG
This 585-nucleotide ribosomal RNA is filed under the name Triticum aestivum (bread wheat). Its description in RNAcentral is "partial small subunit ribosomal RNA". Lineage: Eukaryota; Viridiplantae; Streptophyta; Magnoliopsida; Poales; Poaceae. The record is from RNAcentral.